AUGAACAAGGGGAAGAUUUUCAAGUUGGCAAAGGGAUUUAGAGGAAGGGCGAAAAAUUGCAUAAGGAUAGCACGGGAGAGGGUUGAGAAAGCCUUGCAAUAUUCCUACAGGGAUAGGCGUAACAAGAAGAGAGACAUGCGGUCCCUAUGGAUUGAGCGCAUCAAUGCUGGUACACGACUGCAUGGGGUGAAUUAUGGCAACUUCAUGCAUGGAUUGAUGAAGGAGAACAUCCAACUGAACAGGAAGGUGCUCUCGGAGCUGUCAAUGCAUGAGCCAUACAGCUUCAAGGCACUUGUUGAUGUAUCUCGCACUGCAUUUCCGGGGAACAGACCACCUACCCAAAAGGAAGGUCUAGCAGCUAUUCUGUGA
This 369-nucleotide ribosomal RNA is filed under the name Triticum aestivum (bread wheat). RNAcentral describes it as "partial small subunit ribosomal RNA". The record is from RNAcentral. Lineage: Eukaryota; Viridiplantae; Streptophyta; Magnoliopsida; Poales; Poaceae.